GUUUCCUUUAUCUCAGUGCAAUAGUAACAUCCAUGUUCAUGGAAAGCUCCAAGUAAACAAAAUAAUUCACAAAAUAUAACAAUGAAAUACUAGCUCAAACAAUCAAUAAACAAGCAAUAAAAGACUAACAAAUUAACUAAUGCAUGACGUCGGGCUAAAAUGGUAAAGAAAAGAAGAUAGAAUGGACCUUUUACAGCCAAAAUUCUUUCUGAACCUUUAUUCAAAAAUAAAUUUUUGAUUACAACCCGAAGCAAAAUCUAACAGCGAACUCGAACCAAAAACGAAAAUCUGCCCACGCCUUCGACUGGAGCUCAACCAAGCAAACUUCAUGUUCAUUAUAAACAAACCACGAUCCGAUCGAGACCUGCAUCGGCGCUGAAAACCUUGAACCCAAUUCAAAAACUCCACUGAACGGGGUAGCCUUACACAGUUAAAACGAACCUAUGUUCGUCGGCAAACAUGGUGCGACGACGACUAUUUUUGGGGUAGUUUGGUGCUGCGUUUCAGCUAGUUUUGGGUGGUUGUUUCAGCGUUUGGAGCUUAUGUUUCGGGUUAUUUUUGGAGCAGCUCUUUCAUGGCUAUUUGCAGCUAGUUUCAAGGCCGUUACGUGACUGAUUUUGCUGGAUUUGAGGAUAGUUUUUGAGCUGGUUCAGUUGCGCUUUUGGUGGUAUUUUAAUGGAGUUUUUUUUAUGGUUUUGUGCUGAAGUUUUAUGGAAAAAGAAGAGGGUUGGUGGCUGAAGGUUUUUUUUGUGGGGAAGGGAUCUGAUCUAUCUUUAGGGUUUAGGGUUAAGGGGAAGGGGUUUGUGAGUGGGGGACAAGCAUGAGGGACAAGCAUGGGGGACAAGGGAAAGUGGAGUGAGGACAAAGUGUGGUAUUGGUGAGAUGAGUGAGCGAAAAUUCAAGCACGAUCAAAAAUUAGGUACUCACAAUUCCAAAUGUUAUAGUAUAAUCCAGGUAUAUGAAUCGCGAUAACGUAUUAUUUGCUCCCUUAACACGAUAACACCAAAUAUUUUUGUAUCGUGUGCAGGCAAAAAUUAUAACUAUCAUAUUCUUAGAAAUGUUCUCGUAUAAUUUUGGUAUAUAAAUCGAGCAUCAACAAGAUUGUUACAUUUCAAUGUGUGCUUAAAAUUACACUUGUAUAAAUCGGAUGGUGGUUCAAAAUACUUUUUUUCAAUAGUUUUUACUUACACCAACAUGUAGAUUUCUUAAAGGGGGAAAAGGGAAGAAUAAAUGAAAAAGAAAAAUAGACGUGGAGAAGAAAGGAGCAAGAUCCUAACUUGCUGGAGAAUUAUAGCAUGCGCAGAGAUGGAAUUUUGUAACGUGGAGCAUGAGACUUGACUGUUAACUAACUCACAUGUUUUGGACCUCAAAUUUAGGUAUUAUUCUGUACAUAUUACACUAACAAGAACUAGAAGAAGAAGAAAUUUUUUUAAUAUAGUGUUGUUUCUAUUUUGAACUAAGAUUUCUGGUUCCUUUUCUUUUUGGAUGAAAACUAAAUACCCCAUUUUAAGUAAAAGUAGUACUAACAGCUAAGCUUUCUUUGCCCAAGUUUAUCCAACUCAUGUUACAAGUGAAAAAUGUGUGCCUAUUUCCCAUGGAAAUAAAUAUUCGCAAUGGUAAGGUGGUGGCAAAUUAGGCCAAUGUCAUGUCACACUCCCUCUUUUUCACAUGUUGAUUCUGCCUCAUGUUCUUCUUAAUUUGGCUCUCAAUUUUUUGAUCUUUCACAUGUACUCGUCUUCUAACAUUCUAACAUCUUUUUCUGGUUUCUCAUCGGGUGUUCGUUACCUACAGUGGGCCCCGACUAAUCCUGAUUCGUGUCAGAAAGUCCCACUUUAAAGGGUGAAUCGCUCCUUACCAAAGACAAACUUCAUAUCCAAAACUUGAACACGAGACCUCUGGUUAAGAAUCGAAAAGCACUUAAUUACCACUCUGCUACAACUUCUGGCACCCUAACACCCACACCCUCCCAUGCCAGGACCAACAACUUAAUUCUCAUUUCAGAUGGCCCCUUCUCUUCUAUCAAAGCACUAUUGCACCAAUAAGGUCAAUCAACUUUGGCCUAACAGUUGAAGCAAAUGGCAUUGAAAUAACAUGCAUAACCCACUCGAAAACAUGCACAAUGUUUUGGUUCAAGAAAACAGAAUAAUUAAUCUAUUUUUCUUGCUUCGUUGCAUCUACAGGAGCACAUCUCUUUUCUUGUGUUGUUAUUUGAUACGAUUUAGAUUUCGGUUAAGUUUUCUAUCUUUCUUUUUUUUUUCUUUCUUUUUAUAUUUUAUUCCAGAACAAAUGAAAAUCUGAUUUUAUUUUCAUAUAUUUCUAGAGAAGGCAAGUGAUAGGGUUGGCAGAGUUUUCUUAUACGCUGCUCUUCUCCCAAUUGAAACAUUCGGUUCCAUCUCCAAACACUGUUCUACCUUUCUCACGUGGACUAAUAAUUAAUUAAGGACCAUUUUUUUUAUUAAAUUACAUGCACGACGCGUUUCACAUAAUAACUUCAAAACUCCCAUAUGGACAAGCGCAUUCAAAGACGAAUUUAGCAUUUAACCUAAAGGGAUUCAACUUUUAAAAUAUUUAGCACGAAACGUAUUGUUUUUCAAAAAUUAUUGGUUCAUUUGUAGAAUUUUGGUGAUUUUUCGCAUUACGAUCUACAUUUAUGUUCCAUUUGGAAAUACCGAACUUGUAUGAACCCAUAACAUGUCGAUAAAGUAGAAUCCCAUUAUAUUUAACUCUUCUCACAUGCGGAGUCAAUAUAAUUUAAUAAAUUAAUCAUACAUGUUGCAAACAUAAUUAAGUAAAUAAAAAGUGUGUUUUCUCUAGCAACUUAAGUUUUUAGAUGAGAUGGCCACACACUUCAAUAUGGCACCAGAGUAGGCACAUGUCCUGGGGUCGACAGCCACCCAAUAUCAAAAAGACUUUUCACUAAUGGAAGCUCGAUGCAUUCAAUUUCCCAAUUAAGUUUUUAGAUGAGAUGGUCACACACUUCAAUAUCCUACCAGAGUAGGCACAGGUCCUGGGGUCGAGUCUCACCACCACCCAAUAUCAAAAAGAAUUUUCACGAAUGGAAGCUCGAUGCAUUCAAUUUCCCAAUUAUUUCCUAAUCAAAUCAGAUAGGAAAUUCUUCCUACCUCAUUUUUUAUUUUUAAGGCAGCGCAACGUUAUCUUAUCGAAUGUAACAUGGGAAAUAAAGAAUGAGUCUAAAAGUGAUCAUGGUUACAUUACAUCGACGUACCUUCAAGUCUCCAAGAAACAUUUUAGUCAAGUGCACAUGCAUUUCUAUGGAUGCAAAACGGAAGGAUAAAAGUAUACACAUUUUUUAGACUAAUGUCAAAUCGAUUAGAAGUAGAUCUAAAUUCUACAAAGUGCUAAGGAUAUUUUUCUCUCUUUAUGUGAAUUAUUUAAGAACUAAAAAAAAAAAAGAAACUUAUAAAAUGAAUGCCAGGCGGAAGGUAAUGAUACCACUGCCUUUGGCAACUUUACUUAACUUGCACUCGAAUUACAAUUUUAUUUUUCUUUAAAUAACAUUUCUAAUAGAAAGGUUAUUAGGUGGACUAUUGUAAGCAAUGGAGAGAAAAAAUAAGAAGAAAAUUUUCGAAUUCAGCCCUUAGAGGUGAAUGCAACUUCACAUACCUCUUUGCCAACUUUUGGAUUUUGUAAUCUGUAAAGAUUUGGCAUUCUUGGGAAUCUUUUGGGCGUAAAGAUCCAGUUGUCACUGUCUUAAACUCUUGAUAUACUAUUGAAAAGCAACUUGAUUCUACACCAAAAAUACUGAUUUUUAGGCUUCUGUUUACAUCAUAUCAAUUGGAAUAUCAAGUGGCAAAUUCACAGUUCAAAAUAAAAUCUCGAGAAAACAGCCUAAGAUAAUCUACAAUUUCAGGAUUUAAGUAUAUACCAAAUGAAUUUUGUCACUAUCAACUUAAAAUUUUCAACAAUCUAAGUCAAACCUUUUGAUUAUGUAACAUGACAUAGUCCACUUUCUUGAACGUGUUCAUAGUUAUACAAGAUGCUCGUAAUCCUCUCAUGUGCAAGGAUGUGGUACAGGGGAAAGAGUUGAACAAUAAUGGUCAAUUUAUUUAUCUUUUUAAGCUUUGACGAUAACAAUAUCCCUUUCAUGAUGUGAAGAGACGAAAUGAUGUGGGCAAUCUUAGUAAUGGGAGAUUCUUUCCACUAACAGAUUUUCCUAUCUAAAGAUGCUUUCUGUAAAUAACAGUCAUACUUGCGGUUUAUAACGCUAAUGAGAGAAAGUUUUGACUAAUUAGCCUGGAAAUUAGUGCUAUAUCUAGUAAGAAAAAUCAUGCUCAAUGGGCCAUAGGAGAGGAUUAUGACACAAAGAUCCACAAAAUCUCUCUUUUGGCUGUUAAUUUUGACUUUAAUUAUGUACAGUUUCUUCACAAACUAUAGGUUAUAAUUUGUUUAUUAUGAUUAGAUAACAUAAUCAAGUUCUGUUUUCGCUUGUCAAAAAGGGCGGAGAAAAGAAGACAACCAAAGAAUCUGUGGGGCAAGGAACAAAGGCAUUGGUCAAAUGUCAAAACGUUUGCAUAAGUUGUAGAGAUAGUUGCUUAAACUUUCAGACAGAAGCAACAUAAGACCCAUUUGGUGGUUAGUGCAGAACAUCAAUCCUCCUAUCAAAACGUUAUGGUUUUUUCAACUUCUCAGACAAAUGAAAUUGAUGGAAAUCCUCCUAUCAAAACGUUGUUGGUUGUUUGACUUCUUAUGAUACAAUGCUUCAAACUUUGGGACCAAAAUGUGCAGGCAUUUAGCAGCAUAAAAGCAGGAGAAGUCACCGUAUAAGACAGUACUGGUUUCUCUCAACAACCAUACCAUACUAGCUGUUGGAAAUGGUAUUUUGGUGCUAAAUGAAUAUUCUCUUCUUAUCUUUAAUGAAAUGGAGAGAGAGAAAGAAAUGGUGCUUGAAAUGCAAUUUGUUGUCACUAUUAUGAAGAAGGUGCAAUGAUUAUUGAUAAGUAGUCAUUUGCCAGAGGUGCAACCAAACUGCACAUGCAUGGUUUCAUCACAAUCUGACAACAUUACUUUCAAUUCAAAUGACUUAAUUACUUUUAAUCAAUAUUACCACACAGAUGUGGAGAUAAAGGAGGUUUCUCCUAGAAUACCUUUUUUCCUGAAAAAGAAUUUCUCCUACAAUACCUUAGUGAUCUGAGGACAAUAACACUGUAAAGAAAACUUUAGGUCGCUGGUGAAAGAGCGUCUAUCAAAUCCACACAGAGAGAUUUAUGGACAAUACCUUUUUCCUAAUGCUAUUUUGUGAAAAGGAGAUGGAGAGCUUUGAUCUGGAAGAGAGAAAACAUGCAAAUUAUUCUUUUUCCUCCAUUCAAAUGCAUGUUCCUUAGUAACUGCUGAGGUUUGAACAAGAUAAGCAUUGAGCAUAAGGUGAAAUGUCCCUCAUGUAACCUGUUGUACAGGGCAAAAUUUAGUGGAUUGAAGACAUAAGACAGGUACAAACACAAAAGCAAGAAUGCACAGUAAACCACAGAGCUCCACGUCAUCUGGUGCACAAAAGCAUGUACCCCUACUAAAGACACAAUGAAGUAGAGGAAAACUACCUUACACAACUAGAGUCCAAAAAUAACUAACUAAGCAAAGGGGAGGCAGGUUGUUACACUUUGUUAUACGCAGGAGCUAUGUUAACCAAAGUGGGCGGGGAAACUAAAAGCAUGUUCAAAUUAGGAUAAGAAAUUGAAAGAAGACAGUUGUAUUAACUUUUCAGGACAAGAGGUGUGCUACUAUUUAAAAUGGUGUUUGGCCUUGAAAUCUUUUGGAUACACUAGAAUACAUCACUGGAAGGUUUUUGCUUAGCCUAAAAACACCAACUAUCAUGUGAGAAGAGCUCAAUCCUGGGUCCACCACUACUAAAUAGCUUUAGAUUCUAUCAUUAGCAUGAGAAAAGGCAUUACCUAAUUUUAAUUAUCAAAGGAACAAUAAUAGUUAGGCCACUUCGUACUCCAUUGUACUAAAGGUUGCAAUUCACAAUAAUUUUGGAAAGAAAAUCAGAAUACUAGGAGUAUACACCAUUAACUUCAGAUUUGCUUUUCAUAAGACAUACUAUACAAAUAGAAAAAUAAUCAUAUUUAUGCUUUACAUAUGGAAUAUCCCUAUCAUUUGACUCGGAUUGAGUCCUAAGUGGUUUAGAGACGCUAAUUUGAAUGUCUCAUUAGUGGCUUCCUCCCAAAAGUAAUAUUGAAAAUGCACAACUUGAAUGCAUAUGACGAAGGCCCUACAGUUUAAGCCCCUUGACCAGUUCAACAUACAACACGAAAGUGGAAAUACAUGAAAUACAAAGGUGAAAGAAUAACAAGAAAGAACCUGUAAUUAACAAAAGAUACGUGAACCAUAUUUAUAGUUCAAUAUCAAAACAUCUUCAGGCCAGAAUAUAUCAGUAAUAUAACAUUUAAGUAUAGUUCUUUAAGAGGGGAAGUGGGUAUUACAUUUGUUGUGAAAUGGAUAUGUUCUUAUAUUUUUGGAAAGAGGAUAUCUGUAGUCACUACAGUUGGCACAGGGGAACACUCCUUAUAUCUCAAUGUAAAUGACAUUCACUGUGCUUCUUACAUAGUUACUCCAGUUGUAAGCUUUCAACAACCAGUAACUCACAAAUCAACCUCCAGCCCCUAUAAAUAUCCUUGCUUCUGGAAACUCAAGUUAGUGUCUCUCAGUAUCUCCCUCCUCCCUCCUCCCUCCUCCCUCUCCCUCUCUCUCUCUCUCUAUUGCUCCCUCUCUCUAUAUAUAGUGCAUAAGUUUGGUUGUAUUUGUGCAUGGAUACAGAACUGCAUGCAGAAAGAGGAUUUAUACACAGUUAAGCUAUCUCUGUAACGCUCCAAAACAAGAAAACAAGAGGAAAGAGGCAGAAGCAAAAUAAAGAAGAUGGAAACAGAACAGACCAAAAAGCACCCGGCAUUACCAGAGGUACAAACUACAGAAUAUUUUAGAACCUUUGAAUAGACAAGAAAAAUGUGUAUGAAUCACCAUAACAAUUUUUUUCCCCACAAUUUCUAGGUCAUGGAGGAAUUGAAGAAAAUAAUGGAUAGAGGCUUUCCCAUACUUGCUAUGGGCUUGGCGACUUAUUUGAAAAACAUGAUUUUAGUUGUGUGCAUGGGAAGGCUCGGAAGCUUAGAGCUGGCAGGUGGUGCACUGGCCAUUGGCUUCACCAAUAUUACUGGUUACUCCGUAUUGUCUGGCCUAGCCUUGGGGAUGGAACCACUUUGUAGCCAGGCUUUUGGAUCAAGAAACUUAACCAUAGUGUCUCUUGCCCUCCAAAGGACAAUCUUUAUGUUAUUCACUGCAUCUAUACCUAUUGCCUUCUUAUGGUUUAAUUUUGAGCCUCUCAUGCUAAAGCUACGCCAAGACACACAAAUAAUACACGUAGCAAGUGUAUUUUGCAGAUUUGCUGUCCCAGAUCUUAUUGCUAACAGCCUUCUUCACCCUUUACGCAUCUACUUACGGUGUAAAGGGACAACAUGGCCUCUAUUGUGGUGUACUUCACUUGCAACACUAUUGCAUUUCCCUAUCACAGUUUACCUGACCUUUACUAGAGGCCUUGGGAUCCAAGGAAUUGCAAUUUCAACCUUUGCCUCCAACUUUAUCACCUUAUUCUUCAUUUUAGGCUAUAUAUCCUUUACUUGUCUUGAUCAAAAGAAGAUAUUCUUUACUUACGACCAAAACAAAUCUCUGUCCAAACCCCUAGCAGAAAAUCUAAAGCCUCUUCCUUCCAUUUCUGUGGGAGAGCAAUGGAUGAUGCUUCUUCAACUUGCUAUACCUAGUUGUUUAGCAGUUUGCUUAGAGUGGUGGUGGUAUGAGUUCAUGACAGUUCUAGCCGGAUACCUUGACAGACCUGAAGUUCCACUUGCCGCAUCUUCUAUUGUAAUACAAACCACAUCUCUCAUGUACACAUUGCCUUCAGCCCUAAGUGCUUCAGUCUCAAGCAGGGUAGGAAACGAACUUGGAGCAGGACGGCCAGCUAAGGCCCGCUUGGCAACAGGGAUAGCCAUAGGACUAGCUUUUUUGACUUCAUCAUUUGGAUUCUUACUGACCACCUUAGGCCGAGAAGCAUGGGGAAAAGUUUUUACAAAAGAUAGAGAAGUGCUGGAGCUAACAGGGGCCGUUCUACCCAUUAUUGGACUUUGUGAACUAGCUAAUUGUCCACAAACUACAUGUUGCGGGGUGCUUCGGGGAAGUGCUAGGCCUGGUGUUGGUGCAGGUAUUAACUUUUACUCGUUCUAUCUGAUGGGAACACCUGUGGCCAUUAUUUUGGCCUUUGUUUGGAAGCUAGGAUUUUUGGGUCUUUGUUAUGGGCUUCUAGCGGCUCAAGUGGCAUGUGUAAUCUCAAUGUUAAUAGUUACUUACGGUACUGACUGGGAAGGAGCAUCCUUGAAGGCAAAAGAACUAGUGGGAACAAGUAAUGAACUUCCAUACGAAGAUCAACUGGUAAAAUUUGAGGAGGGCAAUGGAUUUCUCAAAGGAUUUAGCUUUUAAAGAGGGAAGAAACCUAAGGACGCAAUGAAUGCAAAGGAAAAGGAACGAGAUGGCACAAAAAGGAAGAAAACAAAAUUGUUACAUUCUCUCAGUAUUUCGAGUCAUAGAAUAUGCAACAUGUGUCAAUUGUUCUUCCUGGUGUCUAUUGGACUGUGUCGUUAAAGAAACUAUCUUCAUUAGUCUAACAAUGUUGUUGAUGGAUUAUAGAAGUACAGGCCAGCAGAAGUAUGUUAUAUAGCUUAAAUGUGUAAAUAUAAGAGGCUUUUGAUUUGCACUUUCUAGAUAUCAAUAUAUUUUAUCUUAGUAGCUAUGACAUGAACAUGUGCAUGAGCUUCUAGUUCUUUUUUAUAGUUCUCAGCAUGUAAUAGUUCUCUGAUUAACCACCAGAGCAUGCUUCACAUUUAGCUCACCUCUCUCCCUUCCCCUCUUAAAUGGUGAAGACAGAACAGGAGGCAUUGUAUCUCUGCAUUUGUGGGGCAUAAGCCCUACGAGAAGAAACAUAACCCCUAUGAAGUUCAAUUUUGGAUAGUAAUCUAUUAUUUGACUAUUUUAAAGAUACUUUAGGAAAAAUAUUCAUUGGUAAGGCAACAUUCUUGUAAAUUGAACAAUUUUGGAAAAACUAUUCUUUUCUUGGAGAAAUCAAUUACGGCAAUGGUAAAUUUUUAACCUUAAGAAAUAAAGGUUUACUACAGUACAGAUUUAGAUCAUAACAUUGAUUUUAUCAUUUUAACCUUUAUUCCUUAUCUAACUCGCAAUUGAACAUUUGGUGUAACUUGUAAAUCUCUAUAAUAGGAAAUUAACUCAAAUUAACCUUUAUUUUCCUUAGGUAAUAAAAUUGACAUACAAAAGCAGCACUUAAUUGAGGGAUACAAACAUGCAGGGAACGGAAUGAGCGACCAGUGGGAGUAAAGCUUUGGGAUACCAUUGCCCAAUGAGAGCCCACUGCCUUUUAACAUGUUGGUAAAUAUAUGAUAUUUUAUAAGCAUAGCUAGCCAUGAAGAAUCAAAAUUUAAAGAGACAGAGAGGAAGAAAUGAAUAAAAGACACUAGGAAUUAUACAAGAGAAAUAAACUAAUUUCAAAGACUCUCAUUCACUCCUUCCACAAUGUUCCCAUACAAACACCAAGAUUGUGCUCUGUCGCACCCUAUACACCACCACAUGGCUUCUGAGAUUCGGUGUCUCGACACAUUGGGAGGCAAACUAUGCACAGUGGGGAUGUAACUGACUUAGGAGCAAGGCAUAACAAUUGUUGUGUUAACUAGCGAGUUACCACACCAACUGUAGUCUCUAACUUGAGGCAUUACAAGGAUACAAAUGGGUUACCCUAGAGUUAUGCAUUGUAAGGGACAGAAUAUCAUGUAUGCAAUGGGAGCUACGUCUCGAAUCCUAUGACUCCCCUCUAAGUUCAUGCAAUAUUCGGUGGGUUUUCACCCUUUAUCAUACCAAACUGGAGGGGAACAUUACCAAUAGCGAAGCUUACACACCGUUGGGGAUAAAUCCUAAAAGGCACUGCUAAUGAGCCAAGUUUGCAUUGAACCGAUAUACAUUAGAUCUUAUCUGUCAAUAGCCAACGAAUAAGUCACCCUGGCAAGAAUCAACAAGAACCAUCUGCACUAUAAUACUAUAUUAAACAAGAGAGUUCAACCUCAACUUUUCCCUUCACUCCUGAGAAAAACGACAAUAGUUCCUACUCAUUCAUGGCCAGAAUUCCUCACCUUUUCCUAGUAUUGUCACCUAUUCUCUACUUGUUGACAUAUUGAUAAAGGCUUCUCAUUCUUAAGAAUACUUCCACAUAAAGGCUAAAGCAAUAGUGAUAACAUAAUUGUCAUUUAACUUCAGUUGACGCUCUUCUUCUGAGGCGAUUUUUAUACAGAGUGAUACUGCAUCCACUAUUUAUUUUUCUCUUGUGAAAACAAUAAGUUUUGCUUAGUAUGAAUAUGCUAUUUCUAAAAAAGUUUAAUUAUGUUGUAUAACUCAGGUCGAAUGUAGUGGAUGUGCCCGUACCCGCUGUUUUCUAUACAAUCUAUCCUUGCUCCUUCUGCUCUCCCCUCCCUUUCCGUAGAGAUGAUCAAUCAAAUGUCCUUCCCUUUCUGUUUUGGAUCCCUCUCCCUCAGCUCCUUCCCCUUAUUCUUUUCUCUAUGUGGAGUUAAGACAACUCACGGUACAUUAUCAACGCUUAAUUCCAUGACCCUCCUCUUUUACCUUCCAAUUCUCAGAAGCAAACAACCUUAAGUGCCUCAAUAUUUUUAAAAGAAAAGACCUUUCUCGACAAUCUUAACGACCAGAGAUAUUUCGAUAAUUCUUUCAAAUUCUAAUUCCUCUCCCUUCAUUCACUCGUAAAUUAUUGGUGUAAUACUCACCAUUCAGAUAGUGACUAGCGCUUUUUGCUAUGCAUUAUGCACUUGAUGUUCAUAUAACUUUCGGCAUAGAACACGUAACCAGAGAUUCAUGGAAGUCUCAUAUUUAUGAUCCGACCAUCAAAACUCAAAAAGGAAACUAAAGAGCUGAUUAAUGUGGCUUAUCAAAAUUCAGAACCUACAUUUGGAAAAAGAAAAUAGUAGCAGAAAAUUCCAACAGAUGCAAAAACACUAGGUGAUUUUUCUUCCCAGAUGUCUAAGAUUUUGUUGGCAAAGUUACUGGCAAGUGUGCUGCGCACACACACACAGAGUUGCUCAUUGAACGCUCAAAUUUAUUUCAAGCAAUAACUAUGAGUCCAUGGUAAAUCUAAAUUUGCUAAUGGAGAAGAAAUAAAAUUUGUAGAAGUUUGGAAAAUGACAUAUUCCACUAGUUUGGACAGUGCAAUUUCAACUGCCAAUUGAUAACGAGCAAGGAUUUCAAUUCUCGUGACAAAUAGGUAAAACAAAAUAGACUGUGAAGAGACAAAGCGAGCUUACCGGAGAUGAGAAGAUACAUAAUCGGAGAUUCCGCCGGAGGAAGAAUGACAGCGGAAACUGGAGAUUCCAUUUCCGACUACACGCUGUGACAAACACGUGAUUUGACGGGAUCCUCAACUUCUCCGUAAACAAUUUUAUUGGGCCUAUUUGUAACGGGCUCUUUUAGAUGGACUCCUUUUCGAGAUUGUUGUAGGAAGUGAUGUUUUC
This 11579-nucleotide long non-coding RNA is filed under the name Nicotiana tabacum (common tobacco). Its description in RNAcentral is "long non-coding RNA (NTAB_LNC004721)". Lineage: Eukaryota; Viridiplantae; Streptophyta; Magnoliopsida; Solanales; Solanaceae. The record is from RNAcentral.